UGACGAAGCGACGCCGCGUGGGUGAAGAAGGCCUUCGGGUUGUAAAACCCUGUCAGGAGUUAUGAAAUGUAGGUGCGCUAAUAUCGUGCUUAUUUGACAAAGGCUCCAAAGGAAGCCACGGCUAACUCUGUGCCAGCAGCCGCGGUAAUACAGAGGUGGCGAGCGUUGUUCGGAAUUAUUGGGCGUAAAGAGCACGUAGGUGGGUUUGCAAGUCAGAUGUGAAAGCCUUCUGUUCAACGGGAGAAUUGCAUCUGAAACUGCUAAUCUUGAGUAUAGGAGGGGAGAAUGGAACUUCUGGUGGAGCGGUGAAAUGCGUAGAUAUCAGAAGGAACGCCGGCGGCGAAAGCGAUUCUCUGGCCUAUUACUGACACUCAGUGUGCGAAAGCUAGGGGAGCAAACGGGAUUAGAUACCCCGGUAGUCCUAGCCGUAAACGAUGGGCACUAAGUAGAGG
This 452-nucleotide ribosomal RNA is filed under the name uncultured Planctomycetota bacterium. Its description in RNAcentral is "bacterial SSU rRNA". It matches the Rfam family "Bacterial small subunit ribosomal RNA", at positions 384 to 826 of the family's 1533-position model. Lineage: Bacteria; Pseudomonadati; Planctomycetota. The record is from RNAcentral.